CGCCUCCUGAUUAAAAAUAGGAGGUCCAGCCUGCCCAGUGACAUCUGUUCAACGGCCGCGGUAUCCUAACCGUGCGAAGGUAGCGUAAUCACUUGUUCUUUAAAUGAGGACUAGUAUGAAUGGCAUCACGAGGGUUAUACUGUCUCCUUUUUCCAAUCAGUGAAACUAAUCUCCCCGUGAAGAAGCGGGGAUAAAACCAUAAGACGAGAAGACCCUAUGGAGCUUUAAAUUUCUUCUCAAAUGCCCACCAGCCCACAAGGUUUAAAACCCCCUCCAAAAUAGUUAGGCACCAUGAGACAGAAUUUUAGGUUGGGGUGACCGCGGAGUACAAAACAACCUCCACAUUGAAAAGGCCUCCAAACCCUGAGCAAUGGCCUACAACCCUAUGCACAAAAAAAUUUACAUUUAUUGACCCAAUUUUUUGAUCAACGAACCAAGUUACCCUAGGGAUAACAGCGCAAUCCUCUUCAAGAGCCCCUAUCGCCAAGAGGGUUUACGACCUCGAUGUUGGAUCAGGGUAUCCCAGUGGUGCAGCCGCUACUAAUGGUUCGUUUGUUCAACGAUUAAAACCC
This 572-nucleotide ribosomal RNA is filed under the name Scinax acuminatus (Mato Grosso snouted treefrog). Its description in RNAcentral is "partial 16S ribosomal RNA". It matches the Rfam family "Bacterial large subunit ribosomal RNA", at positions 1819 to 2596 of the family's 2925-position model. Lineage: Eukaryota; Metazoa; Chordata; Amphibia; Anura; Hylidae. The record is from RNAcentral.